AUCACAUAAAACAAUGACCUUAAACCGAAUUUUGUAAAUAAAUGUUCAAUUAAAAUCUUGAAAUAGAUCUAGACUCCAAGCAAUUAAAAUGAAUUUAACAAGAAGAGAACUUCAAAAACACUGUUUAAAAUAAAUAGAUCUCGCUAAAAGAACAGGUCUAGUGUCAAGUUAUCUGAAACCGCGUCUGCUUCUGUCCUAUCUGUGUUCCAAGAAUCUACGAUGUUUUCCUUGGCUGUGAUCCUCGCCUUGAUCUGCAUUGGAAGUUCAGUGACCAAUGCCCAAAUUGGUAUUCACAUUGAACAAGGCACCAAUUAUUUUUAUAAUUUUAAAACGGGUCAAGCUCAAAUUGCAUUUAAAACUCCAUUCCGCGAGCCGCCUACUGUUAUUCUAUCCAUGACAGUAAUAGAGUUUGACUUGAAAUCCGGCGCGAAAGUUGAUACUUACUACGAGAACUUAACCACCACUGGGUUUACACUGAAAAUCUUUUCGUGGUUGAAUACCACAGUGUUUAAAAUCCGAGUACAAUGGUAUGCCAUUGGCUACUCCCUAUGGUAACACUGGCUUUUAAUUGGCAUACAAAAUAAAAUCAAUUCAAAUAACA
Long non-coding RNA from Biomphalaria glabrata, 601 nucleotides. RefSeq lists it as uncharacterized. The transcript is spliced from 3 exons. The record is from RefSeq and is a predicted model, not a curated record. Lineage: Eukaryota; Metazoa; Mollusca; Gastropoda; Planorbidae.